Molecule: ribosomal RNA, 506 nt
Filed under: uncultured bacterium
Lineage: Bacteria
Description: partial 16S ribosomal RNA
Rfam family: Bacterial small subunit ribosomal RNA
Source: RNAcentral
AGUGAACGCUGGCGGUAGGCCUAACACAUGCAAGUCGAACGGCAGCACAGAGGAGCUUGCUCCUUGGGUGGCGAGUGGCGGACGGGUGAGGAAUACAUUGGAAUCUACUCUGUCGUGGGGGAUAACGUAGGGAAACUUACGCUAAUACCGCAUACGACCUACGGGUGAAAGCAGGGGACCUUCGGGCCUUGCGCGAUUGAAUGAGCCGAUGUCGGAUUAGCGAGGUGGCGGGGUAAAGGCCCACCAAGGCGACGAUCCGUAGCUGGUCUGAGAGGCUGGGCAGCCACAAUGGAACUGAGACACGGUCCAGACUCCGACGGGAGGCAGCAGUGGGGAAUAUUGGACAAUGGGCGCAAGCCUGAUCCAGCCAUACCGCGUGGGUGAAGAAGGCCUUCGGGUUGUAAAGCCCUUUUGUUGGGAAAGAAAUCCAGCUGGCUAAUACCCGGUUGGGAUGACGGUACCCAAAGAAUAAGCACCGGCUAACUUCGUGCCAGCAGCCGCAGUAA